UGCCACACUCACCUAACCGAAUCCUGCC
RNAcentral lists this non-coding RNA (28 nucleotides) under Homo sapiens (human). The record is from RNAcentral. Lineage: Eukaryota; Metazoa; Chordata; Mammalia; Primates; Hominidae.